GGCUUUUUGAUAAUAAUUUAAAGUCUGGCCUGCCCACUGAGUAUUUAAAGGGCCGCGGUAAUUUGACCGUGCUAAGGUAGCAUAAUCAUUAGUUUUUUAAUUGAAAGCUGGUAUGAAUGGUCGGAUAAGAAAAUAACUGUCUCUAUUUAAUUUUAUUUGAAUUUUAUUUUUAAGUAAAAAAGCUUAAAUUAAAUUAAAAGACGAGAAGACCCUAUAGAGUUUUAUAAAAUUUUAAAUUUAAAUUUUUAGAAUUAUAAUUUUGUAUUUAAAAUUUUAUUUGAUUGGGGCGAUUGAAAAAUUUGAUAAACUUUUUUUAUAUAAGAACAUUAAUUUAUGAAUUUUUGAUCCAUUAAUGUAUGAUUAUAAGAUUAAAUUACCUUAGGGAUAACAGCGUAAUUUUUUUUGAGAGUUCAAAUCGAAAAAAAAGUUUGCGACCUCGAUGUUGGAUUAAAAUUAAUUUUUGGUGUAGAGGCUAAAAAAUUAGGUCUGUUCGACCUUUAAAAUUUUACAUGA
This 513-nucleotide ribosomal RNA is filed under the name Monochamus sutor. Its description in RNAcentral is "partial large subunit ribosomal RNA". It matches the Rfam family "Bacterial large subunit ribosomal RNA", at positions 1819 to 2603 of the family's 2925-position model. The record is from RNAcentral. Lineage: Eukaryota; Metazoa; Arthropoda; Insecta; Coleoptera; Cerambycidae.